RNAcentral lists this ribosomal RNA (253 nucleotides) under uncultured bacterium. RNAcentral describes it as "partial 16S ribosomal RNA". It matches the Rfam family "Bacterial small subunit ribosomal RNA", at positions 524 to 776 of the family's 1533-position model. The record is from RNAcentral.
UACGUAGGGGGCAAGCGUUGUCCGGAUUUACUGGGUGUAAAGGGGGCGCAGACGGCGAUGCAAGCCAGGAGUGAAAGCCCGGGGCCCAACCCCGGGACUGCUCUUGGAACUGCGUGGCUGGAGUGCAGGAGGGGCAGGCGGAAUUCCUGGUGUAGCGGUGAAAUGCGUAGAUAUCAGGAGGAACACCGGUGGCGAAGGCGGCCUGCUGGACUGCAACUGACGUUGAGGCCCGAAGGCGUGGGGAGCAAACAGG